UGAGGAAUAUUGGUCAAUGGGCGCGAGCCUGAACCAGCCAAGUAGCGUGCAGGAUGACGGCCCUAUGGGUUGUAAACUGCUUUUGUAUGGGGAUAAAGUCAAUCACGUGUGAUUGUUUGCAGGUACCAUACGAAUAAGGACCGGCUAAUUCCGUGCCAGCAGCCGCGGUAAUACGGAAGGUCCAGGCGUUAUCCGGAUUUAUUGGGUUUAAAGGGAGCGUAGGCUGGAGAUUAAGUGUGUUGUGAAAUGUAGACGCUCAACGUCUGAAUUGCAGCGCAUACUGGUUUCCUUGAGUACGCACAACGUUGGCGGAAUUCGUCGUGUAGCGGUGAAAUGCUUAGAUAUGACGAAGAACCCCGAUUGCGAAGGCAGCUGACGGGAGCGCAACUGACGCUUAAGCUCGAAGGUGCGGGUAUCAAACAGGAUUAGAUACCCUGGUAGUCCGCACAGUAAACGAUGGAUGCCCGCUGUUGGUACCUGGUAUCAGCGGCUAAGCGAAAGCAUUAAGCAUCCCACCUGGGGAGUACGCCGGCACGGU
Molecule: ribosomal RNA, 538 nt
Filed under: uncultured bacterium
Lineage: Bacteria
Description: bacterial SSU rRNA
Rfam family: Bacterial small subunit ribosomal RNA
Source: RNAcentral